UACGGAGGGUGCAAGCGUUGUUCGGAAUCACUGGGCGUAAAGGGAGCGCAGGCGGUUUGUCAAGUCAGAUGUGAAAGCCCACGGCUCAACCGUGGAAGUGCAUUUGAAACUGGCAGACUUGAGUAUCAGAGGGGAAAGUGGAAUUCCCGGUGUAGAGGUGAAAUUCGUAGAUAUCGGGAGGAAUACCGGUGGCGAAGGCGACUUUCUGGCUGAAUACUGACGCUGAGGCUCGAAAGCGUGGGGAGCAAACAGGAUUAGAUACCCGCGUA
RNAcentral lists this ribosomal RNA (269 nucleotides) under uncultured prokaryote. RNAcentral's name for it is "partial 16S ribosomal RNA". It matches the Rfam family "Bacterial small subunit ribosomal RNA", at positions 524 to 792 of the family's 1533-position model. The record is from RNAcentral.